GGUUACUGCUAUCGGUGUUCGCCUAAGCCAUGCGAGUCAUAUGUUCUUCGUGAACAUGGCGUACUGCUCAGUAACACGUGGAUAACCCGCCCUUGGGUCCGGCAUAACCCCGGGAAACUGGGGAUAAUUCCGGAUAACGCACAUAUGCUGGAAUGCUUUAUGCGUCAAAUGGAUUCGUCUGCCCAAGGAUGGGUCUGCGGCCUAUCAGGUAGUAGUGGGUGUAAUGUACCUACUAGCCGACGACGGGUACGGGUUGUGAGAGCAAGAGCCCGGAGAUGGAUUCUGAGACAUGAAUCCAGGCCCUACGGGGCGCAGCAGGCGCGAAAACUUUACAAUGCGGGAAACCGUGAUAAGGGGACACCGAGUGCCAGCAUCAUAUGCUGGCUGUCCGGGUGUGUAAAAUACACCUGUUAGCAAGGGCCGGGCAAGACCGGUGCCAGCCGCCGCGGUAACACCGGCGGCCCGAGUGGUGAUCGUGAUUAUUGGGUCUAAAGGGUCCGUAGCCGGUUUGGUCAGUCCUCCGGGAAAUCUGACGGCUUAACCGUUAGGCUUUCGGAGGAUACUGCCAGGCUUGGAACCGGGAGAGGUAAGAGGUACUACAGGGGUAGGAGUGAAAUCUUGUAAUCCCUGUGGGACCACCUGUGGCGAAGGCGUCUUACCAGAACGGGUUCGACGGUGAGGGACGAAAGCUGGGGGCACGAACCGGAUUAGAUACCCGGGUAGUCCCAGCCGUAAACGAUGCUCGCUAGGUGUCAGGCAUGGCGCGACCGUGUCUGGUGCCGUAGGGAAGCCGUGAAGCGAGCCACCUGGGAAGUACGGCCGCAAGGCUGAAACUUAAAGGAAUUGGCGGGGGAGCACAACAACGGGUGGAGCCUGCGGUUU
RNAcentral lists this ribosomal RNA (882 nucleotides) under uncultured methanogenic archaeon. Its description in RNAcentral is "bacterial SSU rRNA". It matches the Rfam family "Archaeal small subunit ribosomal RNA", at positions 21 to 903 of the family's 1478-position model. Lineage: Archaea; Methanobacteriati; Methanobacteriota. The record is from RNAcentral.